This 235-nucleotide ribosomal RNA is filed under the name uncultured bacterium. RNAcentral describes it as "partial 16S ribosomal RNA". It matches the Rfam family "Bacterial small subunit ribosomal RNA", at positions 102 to 334 of the family's 1533-position model. The record is from RNAcentral.
ACGGGUGAGUAACACGUAUGCAAUCCACCUGUAACAGGGGAGUAACCCGGAGAAAUCCGACUAAUACCCAUAAUAUGGGCGCUCCGCAUGGAGAGUUCAUUAAAGAGAGCAAUUUUGGUUUACAGACGAGCAUGCGCUCCAUUAGCCAGUUGGCGGGGUAACGGCCCACCAAGGCGACGAUGGAUAGGGGUUCUGAGAGGAAGGUCCCCCACAUUGGAACUGAGACACGGUCCAA